GCGUCCUUAGCUCAGUUGGAUAGAGUGCUAGACUUCGAAUCUAGGCGUCGGGGGUUCGAGUCCCUCAGGGCGUG
This 74-nucleotide transfer RNA is filed under the name Marinisporobacter balticus. It matches the Rfam family "tRNA". From Rfam's summary of the family: Transfer RNA (tRNA) molecules are approximately 80 nucleotides in length. Their secondary structure includes four short double-helical elements and three loops (D, anti-codon, and T loops). The record is from Rfam by way of RNAcentral. Lineage: Bacteria; Bacillati; Bacillota; Clostridia; Peptostreptococcales; Thermotaleaceae.